Molecule: ribosomal RNA, 428 nt
Filed under: uncultured bacterium
Lineage: Bacteria
Description: partial 16S ribosomal RNA
Rfam family: Bacterial small subunit ribosomal RNA
Source: RNAcentral
GUGGGGAAUAUUGGGCAAUGGGCGAAAGCCUGACCCAGCAACGCCGCGUGAGGGAAGAAGGCCUUCGGGUUGUAAACCUCUGUCCUUGGUGACGAAAAAAAUGACGGUAGCCAAGGAGGAAGCCCCGGCUAACUACGUGCCAGCAGCCGCGGUAAUACGUAGGGGGCGAGCGUUGUCCGGAAUUACUGGGCGUAAAGGGUGCGUAGGUGGCCUUUUAAGUUGGAUGUGAAAUACCCGGGCUUAACUUGGGGGGUGCAUCUAAUACUGGAGGGCUAGAGUGCAGGAGAGUGAAGCAGAAUUCCUAGUGUAGCGGUGAAAUGCGUAGAUAUCUGGAGGAACAUCAGUGGCGAAGGCGACACCCUGGACCGAUACUGACACUGAGGUGCGAAAGCGUGGGUAGCGAACAGGAUUAGAAACCCUGGUAGUCC